CAAUAGCGUAUAUUAAAGUUGUUGCGGUUAAAAGCUCGUAGUUGGAUUUCUGCCGAGGACGACCGGUCCGCCCUCUGGGUGAGUAUCUGGCUCGGCCUGGGCAUCUUAUUGGAGAACGUAUCUGCACUUGACUGUGUGGUGCGGUAUCCAGUACUUUUACUUUGAGGAAAUUAGAGUGUUUCAAGCAGGCACACGCCUUGAAUACAUUAGCAUGGAAUAAUAAGAUAGGACCUCGGUUCUAUUUUGUUGGUUUCUAGAGCUGAGGUAAUGAUUAAUAGGGACAGUUGGGGGCGAUUCGUACUUGACAGUCAGAGGUGAAAUCUUCGUAUUGUUCUAAAGAACGAACUAAAUAGCGAAGGACGAUCUGCCAACGGAAGUGUUUUCUAUUGUAUCAAGAACGAAAGAACAGGGGAGUCAAAG
RNAcentral lists this ribosomal RNA (420 nucleotides) under uncultured eukaryote. Its description in RNAcentral is "bacterial SSU rRNA". It matches the Rfam family "Eukaryotic small subunit ribosomal RNA", at positions 592 to 1004 of the family's 1831-position model. The record is from RNAcentral.